Molecule: non-coding RNA, 711 nt
Organism: Phascolarctos cinereus (koala)
Lineage: Eukaryota; Metazoa; Chordata; Mammalia; Diprotodontia; Phascolarctidae
Source: RefSeq, a predicted model, not a curated record
UUCUUGUUGUUUUUGUCAUUUUUGUUUGUUUGUUUGUUUUUAGCUAGGCAUCUACCUUCCCAAUAGGAAGGUCCAAAUACAGCCCCCCCUUCCUUUUUAGAGAUUGGAGUAAGAUGAGAGAAGCACUGUGGAAUAGACCAGGCUUAGAGAUAGAAAGGCCUAGGCUCAAAUUUUGCCUUGGACGCUUGCUAGCUGUGUGACCUUGGUAUCAUCACCUUUAAAGACUCCUUCUAUCAAUGCAGAUCAGUACCUUCUCUGCAACUAAAAAUCUCAGAGACUCACCUAAAGCAUAGAGGGGCCCAGCCCUUGAGUGCGGAUGGAUCGUGUCUAGAAGAUGCUGCAAUGUUCUUAAAAUUGAUGCUAACCACAAAUGGAGCCUGUCAAGGACCUUGCCAUCCAGAGGGAGGCCCUCUCCAACUUAGGGCUUCUAGCUGGAGAUCUCUGAAGCAUCUACGCCUCUCUGGUUUAUCCCUUGUUUAAUAUUAAAAAUCAAAGGAUCAUGAAAUAAGGUUUUCUCAGUGUUUCCAUCGCUUAUGGAAACUGAGAUCAUUUUGAUGUGUGCCUUGAAGGUACCUUGUUGGGAGAGUGAUUUGUAUACGUCAACAAAUAGAAAGCAGAUUAGGAGCUUGGAUUCUUUAUGAAUUUCAAUCAGUUAUGUGAUGGUGAAGACGUGGCCCUCUGUUCAAGCACAGAUCAGAUUGUAUCACAGUA